UCAGACAUGGCAUUUGGAUGGAUACUCCUUUUUUUCCGUCGGCUCGGAGCCCGGCACGUGGACCCCAGAAAAAAGAAGCAACUACAAUCUCCUUGACGCUGUGAGCAGGUACACUGUCCAAGUGUUCCCCAAAUCCUGGGCUGCCAUCAUGUUGACAUUCGACAGCGCUGGAAUGUGGAACGUAAGGUCUGAACAACCGGAGAGGCGCUACCUAGGACAACAAUUUUACGUGGGCGUUGAAAAUAUUGCACGCUCCCUCAGAAACGAGUACAACAUGCCAGACAAUGCCCUUGUCUGUGGCAUCGUUAAGGACAUGCCCAAGCCCGCACCAUUCAGCAUGUAACAUAUUUCACCGUCAUGCCAUGCCGCUUCACACUGUGUGACAGAUACAGAGUAGAAAGGGACAGCGACGAUCCGAAAAAUUGUACGUGUGUGAGUGUGAGAGAGCGAGAUCAUCAUUAAGAUUUUUUGUAUUUCUUCGCAGCCAAUUUAAGCGAAGAGUGUUAAAAGAAUGGUAAAGAAUAAGAAGUGUUUGGUACAGCAUAAAA
Molecule: non-coding RNA, 548 nt
Organism: Prunus mume (Japanese apricot)
Lineage: Eukaryota; Viridiplantae; Streptophyta; Magnoliopsida; Rosales; Rosaceae
Source: RefSeq, a predicted model, not a curated record